This 597-nucleotide ribosomal RNA is filed under the name uncultured Cortinarius. Its description in RNAcentral is "eukaryotic LSU rRNA". The stretch from base 222 to 375 matches the Rfam family "5.8S ribosomal RNA". The record is from RNAcentral. Lineage: Eukaryota; Fungi; Basidiomycota; Agaricomycetes; Agaricales; Cortinariaceae.
UAGAGGAAGUAAAAGUCGUAACAAGGUUUCCGUAGGUGAACCUGCGGAAGGAUCAUUAUUGAAAUAAACCUGAUGGGUUGUUGCUGGUUCUCUAGGGAGCAUGUGCACACCUUGUCAUCUUUAUAUCUCCACCUGUGCACUUUUUGUAGACCUUUCAGGUCUAUGUUGCUUCAUUUACCCCAAUGUAUGUUAAUAGAAUGUUGUGCCUAUAUAAUAUAUACAACUUUCAGCAACGGAUCUCUUGGCUCUCGCAUCGAUGAAGAACGCAGCGAAAUGCGAUAAGUAAUGUGAAUUGCAGAAUUCAGUGAAUCAUCGAAUCUUUGAACGCACCUUGCGCUCCUUGGUAUUCCGAGGAGCAUGCCUGUUUGAGUGUCAUUAAUAUAUCAACCUUCUCUUUUUUGAGUUGUUUGGAUGUGGGGGUUUGCUGGCCUCUUAAAUGAUUCAGCUCCCCUGAAAUGCAUUAGCAGAACAACCUGUUCAUUGGCGUGAUAAUUAUCUAUGCUAUUGAUUGUGAGGGCAGUUCAGCUUUCUAACCGUCCUCGGACAAUUCAUCAUUAAUGUGACCUCAAAUCAGGUAGGACUACCCGCUGAACUUAA